Molecule: long non-coding RNA, 903 nt
Organism: Aphis gossypii (cotton aphid)
Lineage: Eukaryota; Metazoa; Arthropoda; Insecta; Hemiptera; Aphididae
Exons: 2
Source: RefSeq, a predicted model, not a curated record
UUAAGUAUGAUAUAUUGGAUGUAAAAUAUACAACAACCACACUUCUACUUUAAUUUAAUCGCGUAAAAAAUAAACACUCCCUAAAAUAAUUUAGACUGUAUUUUUAAAAUCAGGCUCCUUGUUAGUGGUAUUUCAAGAGCUAUUACUGAUAUAAAAAUAUACAGCGGUACUAUUAAAUACAGUUAUACAAAAAUAGUAGUGAAUAUGUUUGUAUACACAUUUUAGGUAAUUUUAGAUGCGAAAAAAUAAUAUUAAAUUACAGUUUGAGAACAAUUUGAAGUAAAUCAAAAACUGAUCAAACACGUUAACACUCAUCUCCGUGGUGAUUGCCGCUUACAACAAUGUUUAUGAUUUAGAAUAAUAAUUACUCAAUGGUUACACGUUGCGCAGGGUUUGUAUUAAUAUCAUAUUAAAAAAAAUUAAAUUUCUAGAUAAGACCCAUGCAUAUUACAUGAUUUGUACAAAAUAAAUUGAUUAUUUUUAUUGAUUUUAAUUUAAAAAGUCUUUAGUGAAAAAAAAAUAUGAUUUGAAAAUAUACAUUUAGUUUUUUUGUAUCCUUGAAAAUGAUCCUAUUCUCGUAUCCCUUUGAGAAUUUACAGGAGUGCAAAUACUAAUGUAAAAUGAAUGAAGGAUAUGCAAAAAUGUAACAAUUGUAUUUGACAAGGUAAAAACUAAAUUUUCAAAUGUAACAGUCUCAAGAGGAUAAACUAAAGCUGUUAUAACAAAAUUGGUAUAGGAGAAGAUUACCUAAUACAAAUCAGUGAUGUUACGCGCGUAGCUGAGAGGAUUAGAUCAAUAUUAAUUUUUUUCUCUAUUGAUAUAUACAGGGAUUUAAUAAUUGCAAAUAAUAUUUAUAUAAUUAUAUUAUUUUAUUUCAAAAUAUAAGUCAAUGUAUUUAAUGUA